GGGCAUACCCGUAGACCUUGUCUGACUGUGCCUGUAGCCAGGCAAGGGGGACAGUGUAUGCGAGAGUAACUUGGAGUCGGUGCUUGCUCUGACCAGCGGAGUCGGUGGCUGGGGAAAUUGCAGCACUCCCAACAUUG
This 137-nucleotide small nucleolar RNA is filed under the name Neogale vison (American mink). Its description in RNAcentral is "Neovison vison (American mink) Small nucleolar RNA SNORA58 (ENSNVIG00000017962.1)". It matches the Rfam family "Small nucleolar RNA SNORA58". From Rfam's summary of the family: ACA52 is a member of the H/ACA class of snoRNA that guide the sites of modification of uridines to pseudouridines. The record is from Rfam by way of RNAcentral. Lineage: Eukaryota; Metazoa; Chordata; Mammalia; Carnivora; Mustelidae.